AGAUCACAAAAUCACCCAUCCAACGGACAGUAAUACAUACAUGAAUUCCUCCAUGAAAACAGCGAAAGUAGACGGUAAGUUGCGUCCUCUCAUUUUUCCCGGUCCGCGGCGGCGUCCUAGUCCCUCUUUAAACAGGUAAACCCAAAAAAAAAAAAAAACUUCAUCUAAUUAUUUACCCGAAAUGAAUCUCAAAGCCAAAGUUGAAAUACCAAUUAAAGAACUAAGAUACAGCCUUUAGAUUUCUGUAUUCAGAGCUUUGUUUGUUUCAAGUAUAAACAAUCUGUGCCUUAACUUUUUCUUUACUAAUUGCUCCUCAAUGCCCGAAAUAGUUUGCUUUGCCAUGAGCUUAGUUUCUCUACUGUACUUUGCUAUGCUAUGCUAGUUUGCAGAAUGCUUGUCAUAGAUUUUCUUAUGAAGUUAUGUUUCGAGGGGAAUUUAGAAUGUUGAACCUGUAAGCUUUAUGUUCCAAUUAGAUAAUGAAAUUUGUCACUGUCCGAGGAAUAUCCAACAGCUUGAACUUAGAUUUCAGCUUGAAAGUAAUAGGAUUGAAUCUCGGGAUCCGGAGAGUGGGGUUUGUGGGACUAGGAAGUUUUAUCUCGCUUUGUGUAACUCACUGUUCAAUAACUUCCACAUAUUCAAACUUAAGGAAAAAAAAAAUUGGAAAUCGAUAAAUUCGCAACUAAGUGGGCAUGAAACAACUAUAGUUAUUGAUUAAUGAGUUUAAAAACUUUUGUCUAACUUCGUUUGUAACACAUGAGAAUUAAAGGGUGCCGAAUAAUUUAUUUGACAGGAUUGAGAAAAUAAAAUGGAAGAAGAGCCUUCUAGUGAAGGUAAAGAAAUAGUUGACUCAUAUGUGGCAUUGGAAGAUAAAGGUGAUGGGUGUUGUAUGGUAGAGGAUGAUGCAAAUCCAAUUGUUUUGGAUGACCCUGGAAAGGAGGAUGAACAUUUGAAUCUUGAGUUUUCUCAAUACUUAGUAGGUGGAGCUUUAGAGCCUACACUAGGGAUGGAGUUUACUUCUGAGGAUGAUGCUAGGAAUUUCUACAAUGCGUAUGCUAAGCAGACAGGUUUUAGUAUUCGUGUGAAUUCUUAUUAUCGAUCAAAGAAGGAUAAUUCGAUUAUAUCUAGAGAAUUUUGUUGUUCCAAAGAAGGGUUUCGCCGGGAGAAACGUUCAAGAAAUGUGGAUUCGGGGGAUGAUACAAAGAAGAGGCGUUCUAGGCCUAUCACAAGGGAGGGUUGCAAGGCGUUGAUGACUGUCAGGAGACGGGAUAAUGGAAAGUGGUAUGUAGCUAAGUUAGAGAAAAGUCAUAGCCAUGAGCUUGUGACUCCUGCAAUGAGGCAUUUUCUUCGGUCACAUAAGGAAGAGUAUGAUCCAAAGAAAAGUUUGAGUGGCUCUAUCAGUUCCUCGGGAGUGUGCAUGAAUGCUUCUGUAAAUGUGUUGACUGAAGAAUGUAACAGUUUUGGCAAAUUGGGAUUUGCCGCACAUAAUAAUAUUAACUUUAUUGGAAAAGGAAGGUUAAGCAAUUUUGGGGUAGAUGCACAAAGUUUGCUUGGGUUCUUUAAAGUUAUGCAAGCUCGUGAUCCUGCGUUUUAUUAUGCUAUACAGGUUGAUGAGGAAGAUCGGCUAAGUAGUGUUUUUUGGGUUGACACAAGAUCAAGAAUUGCCUAUAAUUGUUUCUCUGAUGUUGUAUCUUUUGACACUACUUAUCAAGUGAAUCAAUAUAAAAUGCCAUUUGCACCUUUUAUUGGGGUAAAUCAUCAUAGACAGUCAGUGUUGUUUGGUUGUGCAUUGCUAGCAGAUCAAACUGAAUCUACAUUCAUUUGGCUUUUCACAACUUGGCUUGAGGCAAUGUCUAGGCGGCAGCCAGGUUUACUUAUAACUGAUUAUGAUUCUGCCAUUAGCAGAGCUGUAGAAAGUGUUUUCCCACAGUCAAGCCAUCGAUAUUGCAAAUGGCACAUCCUGAGCAAAAUGCCCAAGGAAAUGGGUCAUGUAUACAGUGCACUUCCAAAGACAUUUCAAGUGGAGUUUGACAAAUGCGUUAACAAGAGUGAGACACCUGAAGAAUUUGAAUCUGCUUGGCACUUGCUUCUUGACAAGUACAAUCUUAGAGGAAAUGAAUGGCUUCAAUCCCUUUAUAUUGACCGCAAGUUAUGGGUAUCAACAUAUGUGAGAGACACAUUCUUUGCUGCCAUGUAUACAACCCAGCGAAGCAAAAGUGUUAACUCACUAUUUGAUGGCUAUGUAAACGCAGGGACCACAUUACAAGAUUUUGCAGAGCAAUAUGAGAAGGCUCUGGAUGAUCGAUAUGAGAAGGAAGCUAGGGCAGAGUUUGAAACUUUUUACACUAAACCAGUUUUAAAGACACCACUUCCUAUGGAAAAACAAGCAACAGAAGUUUACACGAGAAAAUUGUUCUCAGUUUUCCAAGAUGAAAUUUAUGAAUCUCUUGUGCUUGCUGUGAAUUUAAGUCAAGAUGAAAGAUUAUCUAGGACAUAUGAGGUAGCAAGAUUUGAUGAAGAACAUAAAGUAUACUUUGUAGGAUUAAAUAUAGCUGACCAGAUAGCUAGUUGUAGUUGCAAGAUGUUUGAGUUUGAAGGGAUCCUUUGCAGACAUGUCAUUGCUGUGUUCAAAGCAACAAAUAUCUUCCUGCUUCCACAACAUUAUAUUUUAAGGCGAUGGACAAGAAAUGCUAAGGAUGAGGCUAUGUUGGAUGCAAUGCCAUCUGUUGAGAUGAAUGGUAAUUCUCAAAAGGGGAAGAACUCACAGUACAAUCUUUUGUAUCAAGAAGCCGUAAAAUGUGCAGAAGAGGGGAUGGCAUCUGACCAUAGUUUCAAAGUUGCAUUAAAUGCCUUGAGAGAGGCUAGGAUUAAAAUUACUACUGCUAAGAAAAAUGCCAUCAAUGCCCAGAAACUUGAGACUGCAGCCAGCACCAACUUUCUGGAUGAGAACACCACAGUUGGUAGUCAGGUAGAUAGUUCAUCAGUAGUUACUCUCCAUGACCACCAGCAAGCUAAAAUGAGAGAUUCCUGUGCAGAAAAUGAUAUCUCCAAAUAUGCAUCAGAGCAGUCUUCAAGUAGAGUUAGUAUAUGCACUAAUUGUAAGUGCCCCGGACAUGAGAGUCUUUCUUGCUUGUGGUUAAAGGAUGGAAGAGGAAGCACUUCAUUGGAAAACAAAAUUCAAUAGUUUGCUUAUGAAGGCAGAUCAAUCCGCAUUGGAGACAAUAUUCCCUCAAGAAAAAGUCUACUACAGGCUUGUGUACAGAUAAUUGUUCGUAUGAACUACUUAGCCACAGCAAUGAGUGGACUAUUUUGUAAUUGUCCUUUGUUCUCAUCUGCAAGUGUGAUGUGAAAAGCUAAAAGACAUUGAAGAUUCUAUCUCUUUUCCAUCAAGUAGUCCUUCUUUGUUUUACGGGAGUUAUCUGUUCGCUGGUAAAUAAUUCCUGGAAUUCUCUCUUCUGUGCUGAAAGGGGCAAUCUCAGAGCACUUGUUGGAUAUUGAAUAGCCAUAUAAUGAACUUAUGAACGGAAACUCCUCUGAGGCAUCACUUUGAGAUUUGUUGCUUCUGUUGGUACAAUUAAGUUGAAGAAUAAAUUCCUAUUUCUAACAUCUGCAACCAAUGAAUCAAGAGUUCUCUCAUGGUUACAAUUCUCAAGUGCUCUGCGAUACUCAAGCUGUUCUGCAGCAAACUGGAUUUGGUUCAGCAGCCAAGAUUAAUGAUUAUUUGUUUGUCAAAUUUUUGACUUUAUGUUGGAAGAGUCCAUAGCUAUGAUCAUUUCUCAUGUUCUCAGUAAAUUCAUGAUAACAUUGUCAAAGAUCAUGUUUUAGUAUUACACUUCACAAGGGAACCACUCAAACAUAAAACCUUAAGUUGAUCGAUAAGGGUCUGAGCAUAAGUUUUAACCUCUAGUGCUUUCCGCCAAUGAAUCAAAGGAUCACCUUGUGAGAUGAGGUCAUGAUGCAUGCCAUAUGAAAUGGCCCUGCUAUUUCUAAGCA
This is a non-coding RNA of Theobroma cacao (cacao), 3990 nucleotides long. Lineage: Eukaryota; Viridiplantae; Streptophyta; Magnoliopsida; Malvales; Malvaceae. The record is from RefSeq and is a predicted model, not a curated record.